This 571-nucleotide unclassified non-coding RNA is filed under the name uncultured bacterium. RNAcentral's name for it is "partial contains 16S ribosomal RNA, 16S-23S ribosomal RNA intergenic spacer, and 23S ribosomal RNA". The stretch from base 459 to 571 matches the Rfam family "Bacterial large subunit ribosomal RNA", at positions 1 to 113 of the family's 2925-position model. The record is from RNAcentral.
UCUAAGGAGAAACUAGGCGGAUGGCUUCGGCCAAACCCGCCAGGUCGGCCAGCCUUCGGGCUGGAAGCUCAAUACCUCAUCGUGCAUUUCGGAAUUUAAGGGACUGCGGUUCCUUGACAUUCUCGCGGUUCUACCUGGACACAGGCAGCCAAGGGGGCUGUAGCUCAGUUGGUAGAGCGGUAGCUUUGCAAGCUAUAGGUCAGGAGUUCGAAUCUCCUCAGCUCCACCAGGCGCGGGCAAAGGCCUGGGUUAUAAGGGGGCCUGUAGCUCAGUUGGUUAGAGCAUGCGCUUGAUAAGCGCAGGGUCACUGGUUCAAGUCCAGUCAGGCCCACCAACCGCGGGAAUACACGAAUUUUGGGCGCAAGCCCGGUUCUUUGACAACUGCAUACGAAUGGGCAAUUAAAUUACAGUGAAUCGUUGAGAUAAGCCGGAUUUUCAAAAUCCGGGCUCAGAUUUGCGAUCAAGCUACUAAGGGCGGAAGGUGAAUGCCUUGGUGCCAAGAGGCGAUGAAGGACGCGGCAAGCUGCGAUAAGCUUCGGGGAGCUGCAAACAGGCGCUGAUCCGAAGAUUU